Molecule: unclassified non-coding RNA, 203 nt
Filed under: plant metagenome
Description: partial contains small subunit ribosomal RNA, internal transcribed spacer 1, and 5.8S ribosomal RNA
Source: RNAcentral
UUUCCGUAGGUGAACCUGCGGAAGGAUCAUUAUCGUAGGGCUUCGGCCCUGUCGAGAUAGAACCCUUGCCUUUUUGAGUACCUUUCGUUUCCUCGGCAGCCUCGGCUGCCAAUGGGGACCCCAAAAAACACUUUGCAGUACCUGUAGCAGUCUGAACAAACAAACAAAAAUUAAAACUUUCAACAACGGAUCUCUUGGUUCUG